CUUUUUCUGCUAUUUCCAAUUUUUCUCGCUUAGCUUGUCUCAGUCUAGUGUGAAGAGCUCUUUCUGGUUCUGCGUCAAAAGAAAAAUCCGCUGAGGCCUUACCUCGCAUAAACAAGUUAGACAAAUAUUAGAAUUGAAUACUAAGAUUGUCACAAAUAAAAUUUUGGUUGACGAGCAACAAAAUUUCAAUAGAAUAAAAAUUAAAAUAGGUAUUUUGGCAAUCCCCG
RNAcentral lists this long non-coding RNA (227 nucleotides) under Lathyrus oleraceus (garden pea). RNAcentral's name for it is "Pisum sativum (pea) long non-coding RNA (PSAT_LNC039376)". Lineage: Eukaryota; Viridiplantae; Streptophyta; Magnoliopsida; Fabales; Fabaceae. The record is from RNAcentral.